UUCCGGUUGAUCCUGCCGGAGGCUACCGCUAUUGGAGUUCGAUUAAGCCAUGCGAGUCGCGAGUCUUCAAGGACUCGGCGUACCGCUCAGUAACACGUGGGUAACCUGCCCUAUGCUGGGGGAUAACCUCGGGAAACUGAGAAUAAUACCCCAUAGUUCACCACGCCUGGAACGGUGGGUGGAUGAAAGCUCCGGCGGCAUAGGAUGGGCCUGCGGCGUAUCAGGUUGUAGGGGGUGUAAUGUACCCUCUAGCCAUCUACGCGUACGGGUGUUGGGAGACAUCGCCCGGAGAUGGAUUCUGAGACACGAAUCCAGACCCUACGGGGUGCAGCAGGCGCGAAAACUUGGCAAUGCGAGCAAUCGUGACCAGGGAACUCCAAGUGCAUCGGGUAAGACCGAUGCUUUUCUUGACUCUUCAAAGGUCUUGGAAUAAGGGGUGGGUAAGGACGGUGCCAGCCGCCGCGGUAAUACCGGCGCCUCAAGUGGUAGUCGCUUUUAUUGGGCCUAAAACGUCCGUAGCCGGUUUGGUACAUUCGUGGGUAAAUCAAGGCGCUCAACGUCUUGAAUUCUGCGAGCACGGCCAGACUUGGGACCGGGUGAGGUGUGGGGUACUCUCAGGGUAGGGGUAAAAUCCUGUCAUCCUGAGAGGACCACCUGUUGCGAAGGCGCCACACUAGAACGGAUCCGACGGUCAGGGACGAAGCCUAGGGGCACGAACCGGAUUAGAUACCCGGGUAGUCCUAGGUGUAAACGCUGUGGACUUGAUGUUGGGAGUGCUCCGAGCACCCUCAGUGUCGAAGCGAAGGUGAUAAGUCCACUGCCUGGGGAGUACGGUCGCAAGGCUGAAACUUAAAGGAAUUGGCGGGGGAGCACUGCAACCUGAGGAUUGUGCGGUUUAAUUGGAUUCAACGCCGG
RNAcentral lists this ribosomal RNA (915 nucleotides) under uncultured marine archaeon. RNAcentral's name for it is "bacterial SSU rRNA". It matches the Rfam family "Archaeal small subunit ribosomal RNA", at positions 1 to 921 of the family's 1478-position model. The record is from RNAcentral.